CUGUAAAAGGAAGGUGAGAGAGUGACCUACUCAAAGCCACAAAAUAAGGUUUGAAGGUAGAGAGUGAGCACACAUCUCUUCGCUGUGAGGAGCUGCAACAUAAAGAAUCCCACCAAGAGGGAGAACCUCGUAUCUUUUUGAUAUUGGGUGAAAGGCACACUUGUGAAUAAAUUGUUCCAUGGCAAUUUUGGCAACUGACAACAUUCUUCUUCAUCACAAACAACUGAUGUGACUGAUUUCAAGUUCGGAGUGGCCUUGCGGGAGUCUUCAGCGACUGCUUUCCAUUGCAAGUCUCUGUCAGUCCCCAAUCUGAGUUGAAAUCUGAGUCCAAAUAAAAGCCUAUUGACUCGGU
This is a long non-coding RNA of Lacerta agilis (Sand lizard), 352 nucleotides long. RefSeq lists it as uncharacterized. The record is from RefSeq and is a predicted model, not a curated record. NCBI's taxonomy places the organism in Eukaryota, Metazoa, Chordata, Lepidosauria, Squamata, Lacertidae. The transcript has 3 exons.